AUUGAACGCUGGCGGCAUGCUUUACACAUGCAAGUCGAACGGCAGCACGGGUGCUUGCACCUGGUGGCGAGUGGCGAACGGGUGAGUAAUGUAUCGGAACGUACCCGGCAAUGGGGGAUAACGUAGCGAAAGUUACGCUAAUACCGCAUAUGCCCUGAGGGGGAAAGUGGGGGAUUGCAAGACCUCACGUUGUCGGAGCGGCCGAUAUCAGAUUAGCUAGUUGGUGGGGUAAAGGCCUACCAAGGCGACGAUCUGUAGCUGGUCUGAGAGGACCACCAGCCACACUGGGACUGAGACACGGCCCAGACUCCUACGGGAGGCAGCAGUGGGGAAUUUUGGACAAUGGGGGCAACCCUGAUCCAGCCAUGCCGCGUGAGUGAAGAAGGCCUUCGGGUUGUAAAGCUCUUUCGGACAGAAAGAAAUCGCCACUUCUAAUAAAGGUGGUGGAUGACGGUACUGUAAGAAGAAGCACCGGCUAACUACGUGCCAGCAGCCGCCGUAA
This 502-nucleotide ribosomal RNA is filed under the name uncultured bacterium. RNAcentral's name for it is "partial 16S ribosomal RNA". It matches the Rfam family "Bacterial small subunit ribosomal RNA", at positions 30 to 523 of the family's 1533-position model. The record is from RNAcentral.